GUGUACGUAGGUACGGAAACGAAAUGCAGCACUGGGUGAAGGACAUGAGGCACAGCACCCGCAUCAAGGACGAGGAAGGCUACCCUGCCUUUGCCCUGGUAAACAAGGUCACCGGCGAAGCCAUCAAGCACUCUCUCGGACAGAACCACCCGGUGAAGCUUGUGCCUUAAAACCGGAGUACCUGGAUGAGUCGGUGCUGUGGACGGAGAGCAAGGACGUGGGCAAGGGGUUCCGCUGCAUCCGCAUGGUGAACAACAUCUACCUCAACUUCGACGCCCUCCACGGCGACAAGGACCACGGCGGCGUCCACGACGGCACCGAGAUCGUGCUGUGGGAGUGGUGCAAGGGCGACAAUCAGCGCUGGAAGAUCGUCCCCUGGUAGAGCGUGAUGUUGUGUACAUGUCCGUUUACAGUUCAGUAGACAGAAUAAACCAGCAGGUCUGCAGCUACGUUGGAUGCCAGUAUUCUAUUCGAGAGUCGGGACCAGAUCGUUUAUUUCAGGAUGUGGAUGAGCUGCCGGCCGGCGAGGUGGCUAUAUCGGCGUUUGGUCUUCUGGGUGUGGUCGACUAUUCGCUAGGUAGAUCUGUGCACAUGUGUCGCCUCCGGCCUUGCCCCUGUGUACG
This is a non-coding RNA of Lolium perenne, 623 nucleotides long. Lineage: Eukaryota; Viridiplantae; Streptophyta; Magnoliopsida; Poales; Poaceae. The record is from RefSeq and is a predicted model, not a curated record.